UACAGAGGUGCCAAGCGUUGUUCGGAUUUACUGGGCGUAAAGGGUGCGUAGGUGGUUUGGUAAGUCAAAUGUGAAAUCCUGCAGCUCAACUGCAGAACUGCAUUCGAAACUGCCAAGCUAGAGUACUGGAGAGGAGAUCGGAAUUCUCGGUGUAGCAGUGAAAUGCGUAGAUAUCGAGAGGAACACCAGUGGCGAAGGCGGAUCUCUGGACAGUUACUGACACUGAGGCACGAAAGCCAGGGGAGCAAACGGG
Molecule: ribosomal RNA, 253 nt
Filed under: uncultured bacterium
Lineage: Bacteria
Description: partial 16S ribosomal RNA
Rfam family: Bacterial small subunit ribosomal RNA
Source: RNAcentral